AGCAGCCGCGGUAAUUCCAGCUCCAAUAGCGUAUAUUAAAGUUGUUGCAGUUAAAAAGCUCGUAGUUGAAUUUCGGGAUUGACACAUCGGUCGUGCCUUAAGGGGUAUGAACUGGUGUAGUCAAUUUCUCACCUUCUGGAGAACCGCGAUGCCCUUAAUUGGGUGUCGCGGGGAACCAGGACCUUUACUUUGAAAAAAUUAGAGUGUUUAAAGCAGGCAUUUUGCUUGAAUACAUUAGCAUGGAAUAAUAAAAUAGGACGGCAUGAUUCUAUUUUGUUGGUUUCUAGGAUCACCGUAAUGAUUAAUAGGGAUAGUUGGGGGCAUUAGUAUUCAAUUGUCAGAGGUGAAAUUCUUGGAUUUAUUGAAGACUAACUACUGCGAAAGCAUUUGCCAAGGAUGUUUUCAUUAAUCAAGAACGAAAGUUAGGGGAUCGAAGACGAUCAGAUACCGUCGUAGUCUUAGCCAUAAACUAUGCCGACUAGGAAUCAGACGAUGUUAAUUUUUUAAUGACUCGUUUGGU
RNAcentral lists this unclassified non-coding RNA (520 nucleotides) under uncultured Entrophospora. RNAcentral's name for it is "SSU rRNA". It matches the Rfam family "Eukaryotic small subunit ribosomal RNA", at positions 569 to 1084 of the family's 1831-position model. The record is from RNAcentral. Lineage: Eukaryota; Fungi; Glomeromycota; Glomeromycetes; Entrophosporales; Entrophosporaceae.